RNAcentral lists this ribosomal RNA (450 nucleotides) under uncultured bacterium. RNAcentral's name for it is "partial 16S ribosomal RNA". It matches the Rfam family "Bacterial small subunit ribosomal RNA", at positions 354 to 796 of the family's 1533-position model. The record is from RNAcentral.
GUGGGGAAUAUUGGACAAUGGGCGAAAGCCUGAUCCAGCCAUGCCGCGUGUGUGAAGAAGGUCUUCGGAUUGUAAAGCACUUUAAGUUGGGAGGAAGGGCAGUAAGUUAAUACCUUGCUGUUUUGACGUUACCGACAGAAUAAGCACCGGCUAACUUCGUGCCAGCAGCCGCGGUAAUACGAAGGGUGCAAGCGUUAAUCGGAAUUACUGGGCGUAAAGCGCGCGUAGGUGGUUUUGUAAGGUGGAGGUGAAAUCCCCGUGCUCAACCUGGGAACUGCCUCCAAAACUGCAUGACUAGAGUACGGUAGAGGGUAGUGGAAUUUCCUGUGUAGCGGUGAAAUGCGUAGAUAUAGGAAGGAACACCAGUGGCGAAGGCGACUACCUGGACUGAUACUGACACUGAGGUGCGAAAGCGUGGGGAGCAAACAGGAUUAGAAACCCUUGUAGUCC